AUUGAACGCUGGCGGCAUGCCUUACACAUGCAAGUCGAACGGCAGCACGGGAGCAAUCCUGGUGGCGAGUGGCGAACGGGUGAGUAAUAUAUCGGAACGUGCCCAGUCGUGGGGGAUAACGUAGCGAAAGCUACGCUAAUACCGCAUACGAUCUACGGAUGAAAGCGGGGGAUCGCAGGACCUCGCGCGAUUGGAGCGGCCGAUAUCAGAUUAGGUAGUUGGUGAGGUAAAGGCUCACCAAGCCGACGAUCUGUAGCUGGUCUGAGAGGACGACCAGCCACACUGGGACUGAGACACGGCCCAGACUCCUACGGGAGGCAGCAGUGGGGAAUUUUGGACAAUGGGCGCAAGCCUGAUCCAGCAAUGCCGCGUGCAGGAUGAAGGCCUU
This 388-nucleotide ribosomal RNA is filed under the name uncultured bacterium. RNAcentral describes it as "bacterial SSU rRNA". It matches the Rfam family "Bacterial small subunit ribosomal RNA", at positions 30 to 418 of the family's 1533-position model. The record is from RNAcentral.